CUUUCUUUGCUGGCGACCGGCGCACGGGUGAGUAACACGUAUCCAACCUGCCCUUUACUCGGGGAUAGCCUUUCGAAAGAAAGAUUAAUACCCGAUAGCAUAAUGAUUCCGCAUGGUUUCAUUAUUAAAGGAUUCCGGUAAAGGAUGGGGAUGCGUUCCAUUAGGUUGUUGGUGGGGUAACGGCCCACCAAGGCGACGAUCGGUAGCCGGACUGAGAGGUUGAACGGCCACAUUGGGACUGAGACACGGCCCAG
Molecule: ribosomal RNA, 254 nt
Filed under: uncultured bacterium
Lineage: Bacteria
Description: partial 16S ribosomal RNA
Rfam family: Bacterial small subunit ribosomal RNA
Source: RNAcentral